RNAcentral lists this ribosomal RNA (492 nucleotides) under uncultured bacterium. RNAcentral describes it as "partial 16S ribosomal RNA". It matches the Rfam family "Bacterial small subunit ribosomal RNA", at positions 29 to 507 of the family's 1533-position model. The record is from RNAcentral.
AGUGAACGCUGGCGGUAGGCCUAACACAUACAAGUCGAACGGCAGCACAGUAAGAGCUUGCUCUUACGGGUGGCGAGUGGCGGACGGGUGAGGAAUACAUCGGAAUCUACUUUUUCGUGGGGGAUAACGUAGGAAAACUUACGCUAAUACCGCAUACGACCUACGGGUGAAAGCAGGGGAUCUUCGGACCUUUCGCGAUUGAAUGAGCCGAUGUCGGAUUAGCUAGUUGGCGGGGUAAAGGCCCACCAAGGCGACGAUCCGUAGCUGGUCUGAGAGGAUGAUCAGCCACACUGGAACUGAGACACGGUCCAGACUCCUACGGGAGGCAGCAGUGGGGAAUAUUGGACAAUGGGCGCAAGCCUGAUCCAGCCAUACCGCGUGGGUGAAGAAGGCCUUCGGGUUGUAAAGCCCUUUUGUUGGGAAAGAAAAGCAGCAGGUUAAUACCCCGCUGUUCUGACGGUACCCAAAGAAUAAGCACCGGCUAACUUCGUG